RNAcentral lists this non-coding RNA (34 nucleotides) under uncultured Odoribacter sp. RNAcentral's name for it is "DUF805b RNA". It matches the Rfam family "DUF805b RNA". From Rfam's summary of the family: Bacteroidetes, Chlorobi (1 example), Proteobacteria. Lineage (Flavobacteria) Lineage: Bacteria; Pseudomonadati; Bacteroidota; Bacteroidia; Bacteroidales; Odoribacteraceae. The record is from RNAcentral.
CGGCGGAAUCCGAAAAGCCUCAACAGAGUAGGAA